GCCAGGCACUGUGACAGGGGUCUGCAGUCCCAGCUACGCAGGAGGCUGAGGCAUGAGGAUCACUUGAGCCAAGGGGCUUUGAGACCAGGCUGGGUGACAAAGUGAGAUAGGUCUCAA
RNAcentral lists this small RNA (117 nucleotides) under Marmota monax (woodchuck). Lineage: Eukaryota; Metazoa; Chordata; Mammalia; Rodentia; Sciuridae. The record is from RNAcentral.